UACGUAGGUGGCAAGCGUUGUCCGGAUUUAUUGGGUUUAAAGGGUGCGCAGGCGGUUCCAUAAGUCAGUGGUGAAAUACGGCAGCUCAACUGUCGAGGUGCCAUUGAUACUGCGGAACUUGAGUGUUGACGAGGCAGGCGGAAUUGACGGUGUAGCGGUGAAAUGCUUAGAUAUCGUCAAGAACACCGAUAGCGAAGGCAGCUUGCCAGGCAACAACUGACGCUCAGGCACGAAAGUGCGGGGAUCAAACAGG
RNAcentral lists this ribosomal RNA (253 nucleotides) under uncultured bacterium. Its description in RNAcentral is "partial 16S ribosomal RNA". It matches the Rfam family "Bacterial small subunit ribosomal RNA", at positions 524 to 776 of the family's 1533-position model. The record is from RNAcentral.